This 497-nucleotide ribosomal RNA is filed under the name uncultured bacterium. RNAcentral's name for it is "partial 16S ribosomal RNA". It matches the Rfam family "Bacterial small subunit ribosomal RNA", at positions 28 to 507 of the family's 1533-position model. The record is from RNAcentral.
GACGAACGCUGGCGGCGUGCCUAAUACAUGCAAGUUGAGCGCUGAAGGUUGGUACUUGUACCAACUGGAUGAGCAGCGCACGGGUGAGUAACGCGUGGGGAAUCUGCCUUUGAGCGGGGGACAACAUUUGGAAACGAAUGCUAAUACCGCAUAAAAACUUUAAACACAAGUUUUAAGUUUGAAAGAUGCAAUUGCAUCACUCAAAGAUGAUCCCGCGUUGUAUUAGCUAGUUGGUGAGGUAAAGGCUCACCAAGGCGAUGAUACAUAGCCGACCUGAGAGGGUGAUCGGCCACAUUGGGACUGAGACACGGCCCAAACUCCUACGGGAGGCAGCAGUAGGGAAUCUUCGGCAAUGGACGAAAGUCUGACCGAGCAACGCCGCGUGAGUGAAGAAGGUUUUCGGAUCGUAAAACUCUGUUGGUAGAGAAGAACGUUGGUGAGAGUGGAAAGCUCAUCAAGUGACGGUAACUACCCAGAAGGGGACGGCUAACUACGUG